GCAAACUUGGUCAUUUAGAGGAAGUAAAAGUCGUAACAAGGUUUCCGUAGGUAUGUUGUAACCUCCUCGCCCCUCCAUUACCCUUCUCUGUACUAACGUUCUUUUUAGGUGAACCUGCGGAAGGAUCAUUACCGAGUUAGGGUCUCACAGGCCCGAUCUCCCAACCCUUGUGUUUAACUAAACCACGUUGCUUCGGCGGGCCCGUCUUCGGACCGCCGGGUGGUCUUGGACCGCCUGGCCCGUUGCCCGUCGAGAGCCCCAACCUCAAAACUCUUGUUGAAAAUGUGCCGUCUGAGUAUAAACAAGCAAAAUUAAUUUAAAACUUUCAACAACGGAUCUCUUGGUUCUGGCAUCGAUGAAGAACGCAGC
Molecule: unclassified non-coding RNA, 369 nt
Filed under: uncultured fungus
Lineage: Eukaryota; Fungi
Description: partial contains small subunit ribosomal RNA, internal transcribed spacer 1, and 5.8S ribosomal RNA
Rfam family: Eukaryotic small subunit ribosomal RNA (bases 1-131)
Source: RNAcentral